AUCCAGCGAACUUUCCAGAGAUGGAUUGGUGCCUUCGGGAACGCUGAGACAGGUGCUGCAUGGCUGUCGUCAGCUCGUGUUGUGAAAUGUUGGGUUAAGUCCCGNAACGAGCGCAACCCUUAUCCUUUGUUGCCAGCGAUUCGGUCGGGAACUCAAAGGAGACUGCCGGUGAUAAACCGGAGGAAGGUGGGGAUGACGUCAAGUCAUCAUGGCCCUUACGAGUAGGGCUACACACGUGCUACAAUGGCGCAUACAAAGAGAAGCGACCUCGCGAGAGCAAGCGGACCUCAUAAAGUGCGUCGUAGUCCGGAUCGGAGUCUGCAACUCGACUCCGUGAAGUCGGAAUCGCUAGUAAUCGUGGAUCAGAAUGCCACGGUGAAUACGUUCCCGGGCCUUGUACACACCGCCCGUCACACCAUGGGAGUGGGUUGCAAAAGAAGUAGGUAGCUUAACCCUCGGGAGGGCGCUUACCACUUUGUGAUUCAUGACUGGGGUGAAGUCGUAACAAGGUAAGCGUAGCGAG
RNAcentral lists this ribosomal RNA (523 nucleotides) under uncultured bacterium. Its description in RNAcentral is "bacterial SSU rRNA". It matches the Rfam family "Bacterial small subunit ribosomal RNA", at positions 986 to 1509 of the family's 1533-position model. The record is from RNAcentral.